This 983-nucleotide long non-coding RNA is filed under the name Heterocephalus glaber (naked mole-rat). RNAcentral's name for it is "lncRNA (ENSHGLG00100039103.1)". Lineage: Eukaryota; Metazoa; Chordata; Mammalia; Rodentia; Bathyergidae. The record is from RNAcentral.
CUAGCAAGUGAUGCUGCUGCUGCCGGUCCACAGACCACAUCUGGAAAACCACUGACAUAGCGCAUGUCAGAAGACAGAAUCACAGGAAAUAGUUUAAAGAUCGUAAUUGGUUUUGUUUGAGUUACUAGAAUCAGACAACACCUCAUGUCAUAAAGCAAGAGUGUUCCAAUGAGGAGAGAUCAGAAAAGGUUGAUGUUAUAGACAAGAGAGGAAACCGAGGGAAGCAGAAACAGAAAACAAAAAGCAGACUGAUCAUUUCAAAGUUACUUUUCCUAUAGAGGUUAACCAAGGUAGACUUCCUUACACAGCUGAAACUGGUCUGUGGGGAACUUGGCUCCGCCCACUCUCCUGGCUCCUCAGAACAUCAGGCAGGAUCUCACUAUGUCACUAACUUGCCCAGACUGGGCUCAAACGCAGAGAAGUCUGAUAAUGUGAGAAAUCACGCCAUGAGGAGUCCUGGAUAGCCAGGGGAAAGACCAUGUGAAGAGAGUCUGUGGCCCAGCCUCCCCGCCGAGGACUUGUGUGCAGAAGCCAGCUUGGGUGGCUGUGCUCAGUCAGGACUUCCACAGACUGCACCCCCAGCGCCUCUGAUUGCAACUGCGUGAGCGCCGGUACAUGGGAACCAUUCAGCAAAGCCCCACUCAUCUUCACAGCUCUGAGAAAUAAUCAUAAACUGUGUUAAGUCGUUAAAUUCUGAAGUUAUUUGUUGCUGUGGUUGGGAUACAUGUUCCCCAGAGGUCAUGGGUUACAGGUCUAUCCCCAGCUUGGAACUACUGGGAGGCAGUGGAAACUGUAAGACCCAGGGCCUGGUGGGAGGUCAUUAGUCUUGUGGCUGUGGCCUUCAAGGGAAUUCAACGACAGUCCCUUCUUCUUCCUCCCUUUCACUUCCUGUCCAGUGCCACACACUCCCCACCACUGCCAUCUGCCAGCAGAGGCCUAAAAGUAACAGAUCCGCCUGAUUAUGGACUGGGACCAGAAUAAAC